AUUGAACGCUGGCGGAAUGCUUUUCACAUGCAAGUCGAACGGCAGCACGGACUUCGGUCUGGUGGCGAGUGGCGAACGGGUGAGUAAUGUAUCGGAACGUGCCCAGUCGUGGGGAUAACGUAGUGAAAAUUACGCUAAUACCGCAUACGAUCUAGGGAUGAAAGCGGGGGAUCGCAAGACCUCGCGCGAUUGGAGCGGCCGAUAUGAGAUUAGGUAGUUGGUGGGGCAAAGGCCCACGAAGCCAACGAUCUGUGGCUGGUCUGAGAGGACGACCAGCGAAACUGGAACGUAGGCACGGUCCAGACUCCGUCGGGAGGCAGCAGGGGGGAAUUUUUGACAAUGGGCGCAAGCCUGAUCCAGUCAUUCCACGUGCAGGAUGAAGGCCCUCGGAUUGUAAACUGCUUUUGUACAGAACGAAAAGGUUUCUACUAAUACUAGGAGCUCAUGACGGUACUGUAAGAAUAAGCACCGGCUAACUACGUGCCAGCCGCCGCGGUAA
This 499-nucleotide ribosomal RNA is filed under the name uncultured bacterium. RNAcentral describes it as "partial 16S ribosomal RNA". It matches the Rfam family "Bacterial small subunit ribosomal RNA", at positions 30 to 523 of the family's 1533-position model. The record is from RNAcentral.